UUCUUUCCAUCUCAAUUGGUCAGAGCAUGGUGCUGAUAACACCAAAGUUGGGGGUUCAAUCCCCAUUUGAGCCA
Lamprotornis superbus is the source of this 74-nucleotide non-coding RNA. Lineage: Eukaryota; Metazoa; Chordata; Aves; Passeriformes; Sturnidae. The record is from the annotation of a GenBank genome assembly.